RNAcentral lists this transfer RNA (72 nucleotides) under Ovis aries (sheep). It matches the Rfam family "tRNA". Rfam says of the family: Transfer RNA (tRNA) molecules are approximately 80 nucleotides in length. Their secondary structure includes four short double-helical elements and three loops (D, anti-codon, and T loops). The record is from Rfam by way of RNAcentral. Lineage: Eukaryota; Metazoa; Chordata; Mammalia; Artiodactyla; Bovidae.
GCCAAAAUAGCUCAGCUGGGAGAGUGUUAGACCGAAGAUCCAAAGAUCCCUGGUUCGAUCCCGGUUCCGGCA